ACGCUCGACACCUACGUGAGGCAGCAGUUGGGAAUAUUGGACAAUGGAGGAAACUCUGAUCCAGUGACGCCGCGUGAAGGAAGAAGGUCUUCGGAUUGUAAACUUAUUUUGUCAGGGAAGAAAAAUGACUGUACCUGAAGAAAAAGCACCGGCUAACUACGUGCCAGCAGCCGCGGUAAUCUGAGCGGGCUGGCAAGGC
Molecule: ribosomal RNA, 199 nt
Filed under: uncultured bacterium
Lineage: Bacteria
Description: partial 16S ribosomal RNA
Rfam family: Bacterial small subunit ribosomal RNA
Source: RNAcentral